UAGUUUUAACUGUCCAAGAGUAUGCCAAGUGUUCUAAUGCAUCAGUUUCUGAGAACCUUCCAGUGGCAACGUUCUGUACCAACAGCGAAGCAGAAGGGGUGCGUAUAGUUUUAGAAGGAUACUUUGCUAAUACUAUCCCAGACAAGGUUUGUUCAUGUGUAGCACAGAGAGGUCAAGCACAGAAGAUUGUAUUCUCGAAUGUCAACUUCCUUCAAUCUCCUAUUCAGGGUGGUUACUGGUGUGGAAGUAAGAUUAUCGCCAAACAAGACAAUGGACCGAGUAACCAUAUGUCGUGUAGAGUAGUAGGAUCAUUGGAUCUUCAGGAUAAUAAUCUUAUACAGAUAAGCCUAUGAAAGGAAUUACUACCCAAAGAUACCAGAUAUUGUGCACUGGUAUAUUUUGACACCGACGAACCCAUAAAAAUAUCCUGCUUUUCAAACUAUGUAACAACAACUUCAGUAGACGAAA
Long non-coding RNA from Mytilus californianus (California mussel), 468 nucleotides. RefSeq lists it as uncharacterized. The transcript has 3 exons. The record is from RefSeq and is a predicted model, not a curated record. NCBI's taxonomy places the organism in Eukaryota, Metazoa, Mollusca, Bivalvia, Mytilida, Mytilidae.